AUUAGACGAAUCAUCUGGAAAGAUGAAUCAAAGAAGGUAAUAAUCCUGUAGUCGAAAAUGUUGUCUCUCUUGAGUGGAUCCUGAGUACGACGGAGCACGUGAAAUUCCGUCGGAAUCUGGGAGGACCAUCUCCUAAGGCUAAAUACUCUCUAGUGACCGAUAGUGAACCAGUACCGUGAGGGAAAGGUGAAAAGCACCCCGGAAGGGGAGUGAAAUAGAACCUGAAACCGUGUGCUUACAAGUAGUCAGAGCCCGUUAAUGGGUGAUGGCGUGCCUUUUGUAGAAUGAACCGGCGAGUUACGAUUUGAUGCAAGGUUAAGCAGUAAAUGUGGAGCCGUAGCGAAAGCGAGUCUGAAUAGGGCGUUUAGUAUUUGGUCGUAGACCCGAAACCAGGUGAUCUACCCUUGGUCAGGUUGAAGUUCAGGUAACACUGAAUGGAGGACCGAACCGACUUACGUUGAAAAGUGAGCGGAUGAACUGAGGGUAGCGGAGAAAUUCCAAUCGAACCUGGAGAUAGCUGGUUCUCUCCGAAAUAGCUUUAGGGCUAGCCUCAAGUGAUGAUUAUUGGAGGUAGAGCACUGUUUGGACGAGGGGCCCCUCUCGGGUUACCGAAUUCAGACAAACUCCGAAUGCCAAUUAAUUUAACUUGGGAGUCAGAACAUGGGUGAUAAGGUCCGUGUUCGAAAGGGAAACAGCCCAGACCACCAGCUAAGGUCCCAAAAUAUAUGUUAAGUGGAAAAGGAUGUGGCGUUGCCCAGACAACUAGGAUGUUGGCUUAGAAGCAGCCAUCAUUUAAAGAGUGCGUAAUAGCUCACUAGUCGAGUGACACUGCGCCGAAAAUGUACCGGGGCUAAACAUAUUACCGAAGCUGUGGAUUGUCCUUUGGACAAUGGUAGGAGAGCGUUCUAAGGGCGUUGAAGCAUGAUCGUAAGGACAUGUGGAGCGCUUAGAAGUGAGAAUGCCGGUGUGAGUAGCGAAAGACGGGUGAGAAUCCCGUCCACCGAUUGACUAAGGUUUCCA
RNAcentral lists this ribosomal RNA (1020 nucleotides) under Staphylococcus aureus. Its description in RNAcentral is "partial 23S ribosomal RNA". It matches the Rfam family "Bacterial large subunit ribosomal RNA", at positions 328 to 1356 of the family's 2925-position model. The record is from RNAcentral. Lineage: Bacteria; Bacillati; Bacillota; Bacilli; Caryophanales; Staphylococcaceae.